RNAcentral lists this ribosomal RNA (561 nucleotides) under uncultured beta proteobacterium. RNAcentral describes it as "bacterial SSU rRNA". It matches the Rfam family "Bacterial small subunit ribosomal RNA", at positions 1 to 533 of the family's 1533-position model. Lineage: Bacteria; Pseudomonadati; Pseudomonadota; Betaproteobacteria. The record is from RNAcentral.
GACCUGCAGGCGGCCGCGAAUUCACUAGUGAUUAGAGUUUGAUCAUGGCUCAGGAUGAACGCUGGCGGCGUGCUUUACACAUGCAAGUCGAGCGGCAGCGCGGGGGCAACCCUGGCGGCGAGCGGCGAACGGGUGAGUAAUGCAUCGGAACGUGUCCCGUAGUGGGGGAUAACCCGGCGAAAGCCGGACUAAUACCGCAUAUGCUCUACGGAGGAAAGUGGGGGAUCCGCAAGGACCUCACGCUAUGGGAGCGGCCGAUGUCCGAUUAGCUAGUUGGUGAGGUAAAGGCUCACCAAGGCGAUGAUCGGUAGCUGGUCUGAGAGGAUGAUCAGCCACACUGGGACUGAGACACGGCCCAGACUCCUACGGGAGGCAGCAGUGGGGAAUUUUGGACAAUGGGGGCAACCCUGAUCCAGCCAUUCCGCGUGAGUGAAGAAGGCCUUCGGGUUGUAAAGCUCUUUGUCCGGAACGAAACGUGAACGUGAAUAUCGUUCGCUACUGACGGUACCGGAAGAAUAAGCACCGCUAACUACGUGCCAGCAGCCGCGGUAUACGAAUCGA